AUUGAACGCUGGCGGCAUGCUUUACACAUGCCAGUCGAACGGUAACAGGCCGCAAGGUGCUGACGAGUGGCGAACGGGUGAGUAAUGCAUCGGAACGUGCCCAGUCGUGGGGGAUAACUACUCGAAAGAGUGGCUAAUACCGCAUACGAUCUAUGGAUGAAAGCGGGGGACCGUAAGGCCUCGCGCGAUUGGAGCGGCCGAUGUCAGAUUAGGUAGUUGGUGGGGUAAAGGCUCACCAAGCCAACGAUCUGUAGCUGGUCUGAGAGGACGACCAGCCACACUGGGACUGAGACACGGCCCAGACUCCUACGGGAGGCAGCAGUGGGGAAUUUUGGACAAUGGGCGCAAGCCUGAUCCAGCAAUGCCGCGUGCAGGAAGAAGGCCUUCGGGUUGUAAACUGCUUUUGUACGGAACGAAACGGCUCUGGUUAAUACCCGGGGCUAAUGACGGUACCGUAAGAAUAAGCACCGGCUAACUACGU
Molecule: ribosomal RNA, 481 nt
Filed under: uncultured bacterium
Lineage: Bacteria
Description: partial 16S ribosomal RNA
Rfam family: Bacterial small subunit ribosomal RNA
Source: RNAcentral